CCUACGGGAGGCAGCAGUGAGGAAUAUUGGUCAAUGGGCGCGAGUCUGAACCAGCCAAGUAGCGUGAAGGAUGACUGCCCUACGGGUUGUAAACUUCUUUUAUAAAGGAAUAAAGCGAGGCACGUGUGCCUUUUUGCAUGUACUUUAUGAAUAAGGAUCGGCUAACUCCGUGCCAGCAGCCGCGGUAAUACGGAGGAUCCGAGCGUUAUCCGGAUUUAUUGGGUUUAAAGGGAGCGUAGAUGGGUUGUUAAGUCAGUUGUGAAAGUUUGCGGCUCAACCGUAAAAUUGCAAUUGAUACUGGCAGCCUUGAGUACAGUUGAGGUAGGCGGAAUUCGUGGUGUAGCGGUGAAAUGCUUAGAUAUCACGAAGAACCCCGAUUGCGAAGGCAGCCUACUAAACUGUGACUGACAUUGAUGCUCGAAAGUGUGGGUAUCAAACAGGAUUAGAUACCCCUGUAGUC
RNAcentral lists this ribosomal RNA (460 nucleotides) under uncultured bacterium. RNAcentral describes it as "partial 16S ribosomal RNA". It matches the Rfam family "Bacterial small subunit ribosomal RNA", at positions 338 to 795 of the family's 1533-position model. The record is from RNAcentral.